CAGCACGGCGGUCGAAACUCGGAAGUCGUAAUAAGCCCUUGAAUCCUUUACGGACUUCCCAGUUAGAUUUCAAUGAAGGACAACAGCGUCGACGACACAGACAAGCUAGACAGUUCGGUGCAAAACAAUCCGACGCGACAACGACAACAACACAAAGAAGACGAGGAGGAUGGGUUACAGCGGCUUCUGUUACCUGAUGCUCGCGACCUUCCUCUCAUUCCUCCCUCUGCCGUCGAAUCCAACUUCGUUUCCUACUUCGCUCCAGAUUUCAUCAAGCCAGGACACGACCAGUACGUUUACCGUCAUGCCAAUGGACUCUGUGUAAUUGGCUUGGCUCCGACGCACGUGGCAUUUAAGGAUAGUGGUGGUAUCACGGCCGUAGAUUUCAACGUUGGGAGGUCUGAUCGCAGUGUAAUUAAGGUCACCGGGAAGCGCAAGAAGAAUGCGCAACAGUUUGAACCCAACACAGCUUUGUGUAAAGUUUGCACCAAUGAUGGUUCUUAUAUAGUGAGAUGUUGUGUGAAAGGCUCUCUAUUGGAAGUCAAUGAUAGGUUAAUCAAGCUGCCAGGUUUGCUUCAUUCAUCGGCGUACAUUUGUCCUAUAACAAGUAAGAGAAUUUGUUGGGACUGAGAAGGUGAAGGCCAAGUACUUAUACAUGAUACGAUGAUCUUCAGCAAUGGUAUUUGGGAAUGUAACAGUCCAUGGAGUUAAAAAAAAAAAAGGCAAGGCAGGAGAAUAGUGAUAGUGUGGGCAGAUAGAGAAGGAUACGUUGCCAUUAUCAUGCCAAAACCGGCAGAUUGGCUCAAAGCCAAGGGAUUGUUGCUGGGCCUCGAAGCAUAUAAGAAGUUGAGGGAUUGUUAAGUCAUUGGAAUGUUCUGUUAGUUUACAGAGUUGGGAAAAAUGAGCCAAGACAAGUGUUGCCCCUUGUAAGUGUAUUUUGCAUUUGUGUGCCACCUCCUCGAUUUAUCUGAAGGCCCUGCCUGGUAAAGCUCACCGUUGGUGAUGAGCUUCACGGCGUUAAUGUUUUUGAUAUUUUAAAUCUUUGUGGGGGAAGCUUGGUUUUCUUCUUGUUUCUCUGUGUUUUGUUUAAUUAUUUUGUUGUGAAAUAAUCUAUAUGAAAGUAAGUAGAGCUAAGGUUGGGGAUUCUUUUAUCCGGAAAAAUAAAUAUGUAGGUUGGAAUUAGCAGAAAA
Carya illinoinensis is the source of this 1190-nucleotide RNA transcript. It is a transcript of the gene named protein Abitram, with no coding region annotated. Lineage: Eukaryota; Viridiplantae; Streptophyta; Magnoliopsida; Fagales; Juglandaceae. The transcript is spliced from 7 exons. The record is from RefSeq and is a predicted model, not a curated record.